This 7572-nucleotide long non-coding RNA is filed under the name Malus domestica (apple). RNAcentral's name for it is "long non-coding RNA (MDOM_LNC018948)". Lineage: Eukaryota; Viridiplantae; Streptophyta; Magnoliopsida; Rosales; Rosaceae. The record is from RNAcentral.
AAAUAUAUCCAUGGCUUUGAAUUAACCUCUACCAAAUAAAUUUAGUUACACAUUAUUAACAAAUUAAACCAAAAGUUAAACAUGAGUUUAGGAAAAUAGAACCGAAAUAAGAGAGUGCAGAGGUUUCUUCCUCUCUGUCUUUCACGCUCACGUCUGACUGUCACUCUGCUGCCCUCGGCUUCCGUUUCUUCCUCUCUGUCGGUUUUCUGCUGCCGCAAGGCAGCUGUCUGCCUUCUGUCCUCCCUCUGACUUGCAAUCCCGCGCCCUCUCCCUCCUUUUAUUUCUUUUCCUGCUCCAUUUUCCAGUCCCCCCUCUGCUGUCUCUCACGCUGCCCCCCAAAGGCAGCUUCCUGUCAGUUCUCUUUUUAUUUCCUCCAGCCCCCUGUCAGUCUCCCCUACUCGUUCCCUUUAUUAUUCUUCCUAUUCUGCUGUCCGUGUCAGCCUCUCAAUCCCGUCCCAUUUGUAGCAUUUUCUAUUAUUUUCUUUUCAGCCAGCACAAUCCACUUCUUUCUUUUUAUUCUUCUUUUCCUUUUCUUAUUACUUCCACUCUUCUUUGUCUACUGUUUUUCUUUUCUUUCUGUCUCAGUGCUCUCUCUCUUCUGCCUGUUUUAUUUAUGUUCUUUUCUUUCCGCCAGUCUCCCACUCCUCUCUGUCAGUGUUUCCACUUUUCUUCCUUUUAAUUGAAAUUGAUCAUAAAACACAUUUAACUGCACAAUAACACAAGGUAAGGUAAAAUGCCACAAUUUUAACACAAAAACAUCACAAAGACUUUAGAAAUAAAUGGUAUAAAUGCAUGAAAUAUAUGAGUGAUCAAAUACCCCCAAACUUACAUUUUUGCUAGUCCUCGAGCAAAACGAAGAAAACAAGAACAAGAAGUAACAAGAAAAACAUUAGCUUCCCUCUAUGUGACCUUCAUAGAAUUUCAUUUAAGAAAACAAAUCAUCAAGAACCAUAGCUAGCAUCAAGGAACUAAUCCAAGUUCAUCUUCCUAAUUCAAAUAUUAGCAAUAAUCUUUGAAUCAUCCUUGAAGUGUAGUGUGUGAGAUAGCCAUGCUAAUGCAAUUUCAAGUUUUUUAUUUUUAAAAUCAUCAUAUGCAAAUUAGCGACCAUCUCACGGGAUAUGCACUCAAUCACAACAUGUGUUUAGUUUUAAUGUGUUUCGCUCAAAGAAUCAAAUGUGAAAUUUCUACCAUAAGCUUGCAUAAAGAUCACUUCUCCACAGUCAUAAUUGCAAAACUUAAAUCAAGAGGACUUUUAUUGGAUGUAAUGAGGUUUAGGGAUAGGGUUAUUGAAACGAUAGAAUAGGAAAACACAAGUUCCAAGCUACAUUGCAAGCAAUUCUUUUCUUUAGAUUUAUAAGAACUCAAGCUCUCCAGCAAUUCUUCUAGCACCUCCAACCACACCCUAAAACUGAAACUUUAAAAACUUUUUAUUUCAUUUGUAUACAAUCUUUCUUUUUCUUUUCUCUUUUUUUUUUUAUUUUUUUAUUUUUUUUUUAUUUUUUAUUUUUUUUAUUUUUUAAUUUAUACAAACAUGAAAUACCCCCACACUUAUUCUUUUGCCAAACACCUUCAGAGUACUUCACAAACGUUUCUCAUAAGACAAUCUCGCAUUGCUCGCUUGGAAAGGGUAAGGAAAAAAUUUCAGGUAUAAGGGUAGACAUAUCUUGGUGAUAAGAAAUAAAAAGGCUCAACAUACACGGCUCAAAUUGGCAAUCUAUAUGAUAUCAUUUUCUUUGGGAAACAUGGUUAUUUGGGUCAUAGUGGUAAACCUAAUGCCUCUAUCAUUUCCAAGUUCAUGCAGUCAAUGACAACAUUUCGAAAGAUCGUUACGCAAGUUCUAGAGAUGUAUCUCACAUAAGUUCAUCACACAUAAAAAAAUAGGAGUGUAUGAAAAAUGCACACACUUUCAAUAGGCUCAAAAACUCACAUAGGAUGUAUAUGGUCACUAAAUUCACAUAUGAAGCUUUAAGUCAUGCUUUAGUUUCACAUCAACAAGGCUAUGUGCAUUUGGUUUUUCAAAGAUGAUCAAACAUGUACAAAACUAACAAGAGAAUUAGGAAUUUCACAAAACACAUGUUAACUAAGUUCUUUGAUGAUCAUGGUUCAAAAUUUGAUCCAAUUAUAUCAUUGGGUCGGGAAACUAACAAAAAUCUAAUUCAAAACAAUAAGGGAAACCAGACAAUAUUUUUGGAUUUUUAAAUUUUCUGAUUUUUUUUUUAAUUUUUUUUUUAUAUAUAUAUAUAUAUUUUUUUUAUUAUUAUUUAAAAGAAAACAAAACUAAUUAAGAAAACAAAAAGCAACAACAUGGAAACAAAUGAAACUCGUUCGUAGUUGAAGGUACAAAAAAAAUUUCAAUUUGGUCAUUUUUUAUACUCUUUACCCCCAAACUUAAACUGGACAUUGUCCCCAAUGUCAGAAACACUAUAAUGCAAUUAAAAAUAAAAUAAAUAAAUAAUAAGAAACAAAAUAAAGCAAUUGGACUGAAAACUUCCCUAGUUUGCAGUAAAACCAAGCGAUGACCCCCCAAGCUAAAAUUCUGCAAUCAACUUCAAGGGUGGAAAGAACCAAAAGUUCCUGCAAAGAAAAGAAAUAAUUCAGUUAAGUAACGCAAGAAAAUGUAAAAUUGAAAAUCACGAUAAAAGACAAUGAAUAGAACUAAUAAGUGAUCAUUGGUCGUGCUUGUUGACUUUCCACAGCUUUCCUCUUGAACGGGGUGACACUUAGCUUUUUACUUGCAAGUGAUGAUUUGAUGAUAUUGUACGGCGAAGCUUUGCUCUUUGGUGAUGUUGUUGAAGCUUCUUGAGUUCUUCAACUCAGAUUCCUUCUGCUCUCGAGUUGAUUGUGCAGGCUCAAUUCCUUUUUUGUUCUCCAAGCAGAUGUGGCAGCUUCUCUAGUUCUUCAUCUCAGACUCCUUCUGCUUGGAUGAUUGUGCAAGCUGCAUUCUUCUCUGCUUGUUUCUUCUGCACGACGGGCAGGCACGAGGGAAAGGUGUUGGUCUGUUUCUUUCUUCAAUCUUUCCAAGUGCCCACCUCUUGCUCUCUUUCUCCUUGUCCUUAGUUGAGGAUGAAUCAGCACGUUGUCUCCACAUGCUUCGAGGUAUCAUCUUCACUUCCCUUAGACGUGAGAGACGAAGCGAAGGCAUAAGAUGAUGAGUACUCGAGAGCAGGUGCUGACUGGAGAAAGGACAGGGAGAAAGCAUGAUAUGAGAUACUCGUGCUCUCAACCUUUAUGAUAUGAAAUACUUGUGCUCUGGAUGGGUUGUUUGCAGGGGUAUCCCAGGGGAUGAAAAAUACAGAGUGACUCGAGAGGGUUCUUUGGGAAUGCAUUCUCGGAGAUGAAGAAGUGCUGAGAGGGUGUGCCUUUGCUGUGGGAAGGCGAAGGUAGACACUUAUAGGACUUUUCUUCACAACCGGAAAUAUUCCCUCACUCAUUGUCGGCAGCCGGUGGGAUGGAUGAAUAGUACAAAUUACGCGCUUUCUGACAAAGCUGCCCGUAAUUUCCGCAAAACUGCCAGUUGCAUGUGACGAGUGAUGACACGUCUGGACAAAUUGAUCUUUUGAAAUCUGGGGUUCGGCUCGUGGUUUCUGAGCAAGCCCAAAUUUUAAGAAAUGAAACGCCUCUUUUGAGAAAAGAAUCCGACUUUUGAGAAAGGAGCCCCGACUCUUCGAUUUGCGAGAGGACGCUUCUCUGAGGAGCGCCUCUUUGAUUUCUUUUUUAUAGAGGCGUUAAUUUUGUUCCACAACACACUUGAGCUCUCUCCUGUAAACACUCCCUUCUUGCACUUCCAAAAUCUUAAUCAGUCCGACUCUCUUCUUUCUUCACCACCUCUGAAAAAUGUCUGGCCCUUCCGAUCGUCGUUUUGACUUGAACAUUGGUGAAGAGGCAGCUCCGCCUUCACCAGACAACAUAUGGCGCCCAUCCUUCAUAUCCCCUACUGGUCCUCUUACCGUUGGGAUUCGGUGAUGAAAAAAUGACAUGACCGCUGCGGUGGUGGCCCGGAACCUUGUCACCCCCAGAGAUAACAGACUGCUCGCUAGACGGUCUGAUGAAUUGGCGGUUAAGGAGUCUCUGGCUCUUAGCGUGCAGUGUGCUGGUUCUGUGUCCAACAUGGCCCAACGCCUAUUUGCUCGAACCCGUCACGUUGAAUCGUUGGUGGCUGAAAUACAGAGUCUCAAAGAGGAGAUUAGAGGACUCAAGCAUGAAAAUAAACAAUUGCACAAGCUUGCACACAAUUAUGCCACAAACAUGAAGAGGAAAAUUGACCAGCUGCAGGAAAAUGAUAGUCAGAUUUUACUUGAUCACCGGAGGUUUGUGGGUUUGUUCCAACCGCAUCUGCCUUCGUCUUCUGGGGCGGCACCGCGUAGUGAAGCUCCAACUGAUCAACCUCUGUUGCCUCCUCCUUCUGUGGCCCCGCCGACUGCUGAAGCUCCGCCGACUACUGAAGCACCACCUGACCAAUGAAUGCUAUUAGUUUACACAUCAUUGUAAAAUAUUUUUUACUUUUAUGUUUUUUUUUUUUUUUUUUUUUUUUUUUUAAAUCAAUGUAAAAUAUGUAAAUCAAUGUAAAAAGACUUUGUUUAACCUUCCCCCACACUUAAACUAAAUAACACAAACUCACAGAAAUCAACCAAAUAACACAACUAACUGAACAAAACAAAAUGAAAGCAGUAAAGAUAAGGGUGUAAGAAUGCAAAUCUGAUUUGGUUAGCGAUUCCAAAGUCUCCCUUCGUUGAAUGCUUGGGUUGCCUCCCAAGAAGCGCUUGAUUUAACGUCUUUAGCCGGACGAAUCUUUCCUUUAAACUCCACUCUGCUCCAAAGCAUGGAAUUUAUCUUUUAAUGGGAGGUGAUACUUGAAAUGAUUCGGCAAUGGUUUAAAUUCAAGAGUGGGUGCCUGAAUCAUUAAAAUCAGAAACAUGUUAGUAUAAAUUAAAAUUGAAAUUGGAGAAGAUGGCUUACUUUCUUUUUCCGACACAAACUCAAUGACAAACACCACAUCUUUGAACAUUUCCGGGACUUUGAACUUGGCCAGGUUUACUAUGAUGGUUGUGGCUUGUCCCGUGUCAUCAAACUCAACUGCUUUGUGCUUGAUUGUCUCAUGCACAACCUCUUGGAUGUAUUCUUGAUAUGCUUCAACCACUUCAUUCUCUUGAAUCCCUUUUCUUGGUGUGCAAGGUUCUUUGAACGUUUCAAUACCAUCGGGAACUUGUUUUGGUGCACCAAGAAUUGGGAUAUCACUUUGCACCUUUGGAAGAGCUUCCACAAUGUCUUUUUCACUCUCUUUGAUAUUUGGAAUAAAAAACCUGCAAGGACAAAAGACAUUCGGUGGAAUAAUGUUAGAAUGAAGUGAAUUUAGAACUUCCUCACCUGAGUUGGAUGACAUAGGGAUUUGAGGAGCUUGCAGCAAAAAUUCUUCUAAACUGCCCAGGUCGUCCUCCUCCUCUUCUGCUUGCAGCAGCAAUUCAUCCAUGUUCGGGCUGUGUUUGGAUAGUUCUGGGACAGCUUCAUCCUUCAUGUCACCUUCCAAAGUGAUAGCAUCGUGGAUUUCAAAAUCUUCCUUCGAAUUUUCAACACUUGAGCUAGAGAGUUCACUUUGCUCUUGAAUUUGUACCAUGAAUUCCAUAAUCUCUCCCAUUUGACUCAUCAAUUUAUCCAACUUCUUGUCUUGAUUUUGUUGGUCCUGCGUCAAAGAGGUUAGUACUUGAAGAAUUUGAUCACUAUCCAUGGACACCCUUGAAGUUGAUUGGAAUUGUUGUGGGGUAUGCGGUGGUGGCUGCAUAGGCGUUAAAUAAAACUCCUCAGAUUGCUGCCAAUAUCCAUCUUGUUGAGCCUCCUUGGCUUGAUUUUAUGAGCCCUGCACCAAAGAAUUUAAUUCAUCAAAAAUUUGAUUGUAAUCUAUUGACGAAUCUGAGUUUGAUUGGGCAUAUUGUAUAUGAGGUUGUGAAUAGAACUCCUCCUCUUGCUGCCAAUAUCCAUUUUGUUGGAAUUGUUGAGGUUCCUCCCACAUAUAAUUUGAAUGAUCUCUCCAAGCCGAAUUGUAAGCGUUGGAAAACAUGUUGUUGCUUGGUUGAUCAUAGCCUUGAUAACCCCAAGCAUCUUCGUUCACAGUGAAUUGAGGAUGUUGAUAUCCUUGCCCAUAGGGCACAUCAAAUGUAGGGACACUUGGCAUUGUGGUCCGUUCGGCAUUAUGAGUCAAUUGAGCAGUGAGCUGUGCCAAUUGAGCUUGAAUGGUCGCAAGUGCCAUGUCUUGCUCCAUUUGUACCUAAAAUCAAAGAAAGAAAAAUAAAUCAAAUAUCAAAAGUAAAAUACACAAACACCAAUAUAAACAUAAACAAAAACAAAAAUAAAAAUAAAGGGAUUAGCAAAGUUGCUAAUCCCCGGCAACGGCGCCAAAAUUUGAUGUGAGAAUUACUUGACACACAAAUUAAACCCUCUUUUUGACAAUUGUAGUAUAGAUGUAAGUAGGGUAUCGUUCUAGGCCGGGGAUUAGGAGGGAUUGCUAAUCUAUUCUAAAUUAAUUUAAAAAAUAUUAAACAAGACUCAAGGACACAAAACUAGGCUAAAAACUCUAAUAACUCGAAACACACUUAGAAUGACUCAAAAUAAUGAAAACAAUCAAAUUAGACACUAGGAACUGAAAUGGACGGAAAUUGAAUUAAAAGACUAACAACAAUGAAAACUAACUAAAUAAUAUAAUUUAAUAAUGGGGGGGGGUUUGGUUUUGACGAGAAGUAAAUUAAACUUAAAUAAAUUACAGAAUUGACAAAAGCAUGAAAUUAAGGUGAAAGGAUAGAUGACGGACUAGCUAGAGGGUUUUUCUCCACACAUGACACAUAUGCAGCCUAAAUUGAUUUUCAGUUGUUCUUUCAAUAAAUUGUGAAUGACAAUGUUCCAAGUUAAUUAGGUCUGCUUAAAUUAACUCUUAGAUUUCCCUAGAUUCAUUGGAUUGAAUGGAAUACGCAUUACAACCAAAUUAUUCCUCAUCAAAGUCCCUAACUAUGGAAUACGCAUGAUAGAGACAUUCAACAAAGAUCAUUAAGUUCAACGGAAAUCAUAAACAUUGACUAGGCAUUCAUAACUAUGGAAUACGCAUGUUAAUCCAGCCUAGAAUUCACUUAACACGAUUGUGGAUAACAACCUUCACUACUUGUGAAUAUAAGUUCAUAAAGAUUAGGUGAAAUUCACUUAUAUUCUAGCAUCAAAUUCAUGCAUGUAAAUUAAGUAUGCAUUCUUAAUCGACAUACAAAAAUAAGUUAUCAAUCAAGCAGUUAAGCAAAUUAAAUCACAACUCAGAAAUCACAACUGAAGGUAAUCAAUUCAUAUUACAAAUAUAUCCAUGGCUUUGAAUUAACCUCUAGCCAAAAUAAAUUUAGUUACACAUUAUUAACAAAUUAAACCAAAAGUUAAACAUGAGUUUAGGAAAAUAGAACCGAAAUAAGAGAGUGCAGAGGUUUCUUCCUCUCUGUCUUUCACGCUCACGUCUGACUGUCACUCUGCUGCCCUCGGCUUCCGUUUCUUCCUCUCUGUCGGUUUUCUGCUGCCGCAAGGCAGCUGUCUGCCUUCUGUCCUCCCUCU